RNAcentral lists this ribosomal RNA (240 nucleotides) under uncultured bacterium. RNAcentral's name for it is "partial 16S ribosomal RNA". It matches the Rfam family "Bacterial small subunit ribosomal RNA", at positions 524 to 776 of the family's 1533-position model. The record is from RNAcentral.
GACGAAGGGGGCUAGCGUUGUUCGGAAUUACUGGGCGUAAAGCGCGUGUAGGCGGUUAUCCAAGUCGGGGGCUCAACCCUCGAAUGCCGGUGGAUACUGUCGGGCUAGAGUGCGGAAGAGGCGAGUGGAAUUCCUGGUGUAGCGGUGAAAUGCGCAGAUAUCAGGAGGAACACCAAUUGCGAAGGCAGCUCGCUGGGACGUUACUGACGCUGAGACGCGAAAGCGUGGGGAGCAAACAGG